This 303-nucleotide long non-coding RNA is filed under the name Lupinus angustifolius (narrow-leaved blue lupine). RNAcentral describes it as "long non-coding RNA (LANG_LNC000991)". Lineage: Eukaryota; Viridiplantae; Streptophyta; Magnoliopsida; Fabales; Fabaceae. The record is from RNAcentral.
GUGGUUCUUUUCUGUGUUUUGCGGAAGAGCAAAGCAGAGCAAAACAUGACAAAAGACUGAUAAGUAGAACAUUUUGGUUCCACUGAAAGGGGUGGAACCAUUGAGAACAAAACAGUACAGUUGGUGCUUUCAUGUUCAUCAUAUUCUGCCUGAACCAAAUGCUACCUUAUUAUUCCUAGUGGUUCAUCAAUUCACUGGUCAUCAUGAAUUAUGUAGGGCUUUAAUAGUAGUUUUAAUAUUCCCCAUGAUUCAUGAAGUGUUGAAUCUUCUGUCCUUUCCUUUGCUCAUUUGUUUUGAUAGAAG